Molecule: ribosomal RNA, 595 nt
Filed under: uncultured bacterium
Lineage: Bacteria
Description: bacterial SSU rRNA
Rfam family: Bacterial small subunit ribosomal RNA
Source: RNAcentral
CGCUGGCGGCGUGCCUAACACAUGCAAGUCGAGCGGUAACAGGUGUAGCAAUACAUGCUGACGAGCGGCGAACGGGUGAGUAAUGCUUCGGAAUCUGCCCAGUAGCGGGGAAUAACUAACCGAAAGGUUAGCUAAUGCCGCAUACGACCUACGGGUGAAAGCGGGGGAUCGCAAGACCUCGCACUAUUGGAUGAGCCGAAGUCGGAUUAGCUAGUUGGUGAGGUAACGGCUCACCAAGGCGACAAUCCGUAGCUGGUCUGAGAGGACGACCAGCCACACUGGGACUGAGACACGGCCCAGACUCCUACGGGAGGCAGCAGUGGGGAAUAUUGGACAAUGGGGGAAACCCUGAUCCAGCGACGCCGCGUGUGUGAAGAAGGCCUGCGGGUUGUAAAGCACUUUUAGUGGGGAUGAAAAGCCCAGGGCUAAUACCCUUGGGUCUUGACCUAACCCAAAGAAAAAGCACCGGCUAACUCUGUGCCAGCAGCCGCGGUAAUACAGAGGGUGCGAGCGUUAAUCGGAAUUACUGGGCGUAAAGCGUGCGUAGACGGUUCUGUAAGUCGGAUGUGAAAUCCCCGGGCUCAACCUGNGAAUU